This 424-nucleotide ribosomal RNA is filed under the name Rhipicephalus microplus (southern cattle tick). RNAcentral describes it as "partial large subunit ribosomal RNA". The record is from RNAcentral. Lineage: Eukaryota; Metazoa; Arthropoda; Arachnida; Ixodida; Ixodidae.
UAAAUUGCUGUGGUAUUUUGACUAUACAAAGGUAUUGAAAUAAGGUUUUAAUUGAAUGCUAAAAGAAUGGAAUAUCAAAGAAUAACUUUCUUAAAAUUAAAAAUUGAAAUUUUUUUAAUUUGUGUAAAAACAAUUAUAUAAAUUAAAGACAAGAAGACCCUAAGAAUUUUUAAAAUUUAAAUUAACACAUUUUUGUUUUAAUUAAAUUUUAACUGGGGCGGUUAAAAAAUAUUAAAAACUUUUUAAUUUUGAAAAUGACCCAUUAUUAAUGAAAAUAUGCUAAAAUACUCUAGGGAUAACAGCGUUAUAUUUUUUGAUAGAUCAUAUUGACAAAAAAGUUUGCGACCUCGAUGUUGGAUUAGGAUACUUUUUUAAUGAAGAUAUUAAAAUAAGAAGUUUGUUCAACUUUUAAAUUCCUACUUGA